AUUUUAGGGGCGAACAGAGCUGAGGGUAAAUCUUUGGAGUACAUACAUACUACAUAGGCCAGGGUUCCGAUUCCAUGUCCCGCUUCCUCAUCCGCAUAUAGUGCACCUCCUCACUCUCUCAAAUGUUUCGCAGAGUUCUCUGCAAUUCUCUCCAACUUCAUCCCCAACUCCAAAUCCUUCGCCCAAAACCAUUGAAACCCAUUUCUCCAAUCCAAAGCCUCAAACCCAUUUCGCAAUUUUCAGAGACUCGCCGGUUCUCCUCUCAAAUGAGCGAUGCCCGAAGACCCAUUUCGGUUCCCAUUCCGGAAGUCGAGAAAGCCGACCCCACCGAGCUUUUACGCGCUUUAGAGACCUCUCUUGGUUCGGGUUUCAGCCCCUUCCCAUUAUGGCCUAACCCAAACCCUCUCAUCAUCGUCGUGAGCGGGCCCAGUGGUGUGGGCAAGGACGCUGUGAUCAAGAAACUGAGGGAAACCCGUCAAGGUCUUCACUUUGUGGUUACGGCGACGAGCCGAGAUAUGAGACCCGGCGAGGUUCAUGGGAAAGAUUACUACUUUGUUAGCAAAGAUGAGUUUUUGGGUAUGGUGGAAAGGGAUGAGCUUUUGGAGUAUGCUCUUGUUUAUGGUGAUUAUAAGGGUAUUCCUAAACAGCAGAUAAGAGAGUUCAUGGCUAAAGGUUAUGAUAUUGUGCUGAGAGUUGAUAUUCAGGGUGCUGAAACUUUGAGGGGGAUUUUUGGGCAGUCUGCGGUUUUCGUGUUUGUGAUGGCCGAGAGUGAAGUGAAGCUCGUGGAGAGGUUGAUUGGUAGGAAGACUGAGACUAAAGAAGCACUUCUUGUGAGAGUUGCUACGGCUAGGGAGGAGAUCAAGCAUGUUAAGAAUUUUGAUUAUGUGGUUGUGAAUGCUGAAGGGAAGUUGGAUAAUGCGGUUAAGUUGAUGGAGUCCAUUAUUGAUGCUGAGAAAGCUAAGGUCCGCCAGAGGAAUGUUGUCAUAUGAUUUGGUUCGUUGGAGUUUGCGUUUCAGUUAAAUGAUAUGAAUCUGAGGGAAAACUCAGUGCUUUAAGUUAUCAAUGUUUUUGGCAAUGCACAUUUAGCUGCUUGGAGAGGAAGGAAAUAUUAUUCUGUUUUAUUUGGUUAUCUCAUGACUUCCAUUUGCCUGUUGUGGAAAGUUUCUAGUGGAAUUCUCUUGUUGCUAAUAAAGAAGUUCAGUUCAGUUCAGGUGAUCAUGGCUGCAAGAAAAAAAAAUUACAAGCUUAGUUUUUUGUACCCCAUUUCCAAGUUGUGUGAAAACAAUCAUCAACUAUACAUGUUUUUGCUUCUGGUAUUUUUUCGGUCAUUAGAUGCCAUGGAAACAGAUUUGUUGUCUACAUUGUAAAUCCCCAGUCAUACAGAUGAUGAUAUCAAAAGGGACAUCAUAGAAAUUUGAUAAUUGCAUAGUGAUCCUUCUUGUGUUCAGAGCAACUUCAGGGCUCAAAUGUAAAAGUUCAUACUGAUAUUCUUUGGAAUCUAUAAUAGGAUGUAGCAAUUUUAUGAAAUUAGUUUUCACUUUUUUGUUUGAUAUCAUAUAAAAUAGCUUGUUAAUUUUUCUACAAGGUACCAAGAUACCUCUUUGAUGAAUGUUGAGCAUUACUUGGCUUGCCCCUAUUAAA
Cannabis sativa is the source of this 1641-nucleotide RNA transcript. It is a transcript of the gene named guanylate kinase 3, chloroplastic, with no coding region annotated. The transcript is spliced from 3 exons. Lineage: Eukaryota; Viridiplantae; Streptophyta; Magnoliopsida; Rosales; Cannabaceae. The record is from RefSeq and is a predicted model, not a curated record.